AUGAAAUUAGCUCCAGUCUGCGAAUUCGCUAAUUAGCGUCAUGGGGCUGAACACACACCGGGGGUGGUGGAGAGAUAGAAGGCGCCAUUCUGGAAUCUUCCCACAUGUCCUUGUGUUACCACACCUUCACCGUGUCAAUGGACAUCAGCAUUGGUUUGGUCCCCUGGAACUUUCACUGGAGUGGAAUAAGUGGGAGAGAAAACUGAUUGUCAUCUGCAGUAUACAAGCUUGCCUGUAUACUGGAGAUGCCCAACUCCAUCGUCAGCAACUUCGCUCGCUCUGAUGUGACUUGCCUUUUUCAGCUAAAGUACCUUUCUGUCAUUUGUCUUCAUUAGAAAUUGCAGCUGAGGUACCAAUUACAGACACUGGAUGUGAUUUCCCAGCCCAUUGAAAUGCCACUGCCUGUCCUCUCACCAGUGACUGACAACACACAGCCAUUACUCCACCCACAACAUGUAUUUUCGUCCCUCUUCUUUUCCACCUUCUGUACUUGGCAGCACCUACAGAAAGUAGCGCCUCAUGCAAAAAGUGACACCAAGAACUAGCGACCUUUGGCAUUAAUGACUGAUGCCUUUAAUGGGCCUUUUAAGCGUGAACUAUCUUCCCCCCGCAUGAGAGAGAGUCAGCCCUGCCACAUUACCGCCGUGAGGGAAAAGAUCCGCACGGGAACUCUGACCUGACUUGAGAGCUUGUCCUCGGAAGGCUCGAGGUUCUGUGAUUGCAUCUGUGGGAGAAAUGAGUUUCGCGGUUAUCGUGGAGGCCACCCAGGCUUUCUGAGGGCUGUGUGUAGUUCUGUAUCUCGUAAAUGCGAGUCACCCUGCUUUGCCGCUGAGGUGUGCCCCCCCCCCCCCCCGGAGGAUGUCAUCAGAGCAGAAAAUAAAAAGAGAAAGACGAACAUCCUGUCUCAGGUUUAUCAGCACAAUAUUUCAUUCAAUUUUACAAUUUUUUGGUGCUGUGGUGAGUGGUUCAGUGUUCCUGCAAUGCAGCGCCUACAGGAAAUGUUGCCUGGACCCGUCAC
This is a long non-coding RNA of Brienomyrus brachyistius, 1018 nucleotides long. RefSeq lists it as uncharacterized. The record is from RefSeq and is a predicted model, not a curated record. The transcript is spliced from 3 exons. NCBI's taxonomy places the organism in Eukaryota, Metazoa, Chordata, Actinopteri, Osteoglossiformes, Mormyridae.